This 1456-nucleotide ribosomal RNA is filed under the name uncultured Bordetella sp. RNAcentral's name for it is "partial 16S-23S ribosomal RNA intergenic spacer". It matches the Rfam family "Bacterial small subunit ribosomal RNA". The record is from RNAcentral. Lineage: Bacteria; Pseudomonadati; Pseudomonadota; Betaproteobacteria; Burkholderiales; Alcaligenaceae.
UUCGAUUAUGGCUCGAUUGAACGCGGCGGGAUGCUUUACACAUGCAAGUCGAACGGCGCUGGACUUCGGUCUGGUGGCGAGUGGCGAACGGGUGAGUAAUGUCGGAACGAUGCCUAGUAGCAAAGGGGAUAACUACGCCAAGCGCGGCUAAUACCGCAUACUUCCCUUCAGAAGCGGGGGACCUUCGGGCCUCAUAUUAGAGCGGCCGAUAUCGGAUUAGCUAGUUGGUGGGGUAACGGCUCACCAAGGCGACGAUCUUCAGCUGGUUGAAGGACGACCAGCCACACUGGGACUGAGACACGGCCCAGACUCCUGCGAGGCAGCGGUGGGGGAGAUUUUGGACAAUGGGAAACCCUGAUCCAGCCAUCCCGCGUGUGCGAUGAAGGCCUUCGGGUUGUAAAAGCACUUUUGGCAGGAAAGAAACGGCACACGGAUAAUACCCCGUGCAACUGACGUUACCUGCAGAAUAAGCACCGGCUAACUACGUGCCAGCAGCCGCGGUAAUACGUAGAGGUGCAAGCGUUAAUCGGAAUUACUGGGCGUAAAGCGUGCGCAGGCGGUUCCGGAAGAAAGAUGUGAAAUCCAGAGCUUAACUGGAACACAUUUUCCGCUACCGAGCUAGAGUGUGUCAGAGGAGGUGGAAUUCCGCGUGUAGCAGUGAAAUGCGUAGAUAUGCGGAGGAACACCGAUGGCGGUGGCCCUCUAAGGACUAACACUGACGCUCAUGCACGAAAGCGUGGGAGCAAGCAGGAUUGAAUGCCCUGGUGAUACACGCCUAAACGAUGUCAACUAGCUGGUAACCAGGCCCUUCAGACCUUGGUAGCGCAACUAACGCGUGAGAUUGACCGCCUGGGGAAGUACGGUCGCAGAUUAAAACUCAAAGGAAUUGACGGGGACCCGCACAAGCGGUGGAUGAUGUGGAUUAAUUCGAUGCAACGCGAAAACCCUUACCUACCGCUUGUAUCUCUGGAAUCCGAAGAGAUUUGGGAGUGCUCAUGAAGAGAACCGGAACACAGGUGCUGCAUGGCUGUCGUCAGCUCGUGUCGUGAGAUGUUGGGUUAAGUCCGCAACGAGCGCAGCCCUUGUCGUGGUUGCUACGAGAAAGGGCACUCUAAUGAGACUAACAGUGACAAACCGGAGGAAGGUGGGGAUGACGUCAAGUCCUCAUGGCCCUUAUGGGUGAGCUUCACACGUCAUACAAUGGUCGGGACAGAGGGUCGCCAACCCGCGAGGUGUCCAGAAACCCGAUCGUAGUCCGGAUCGCAGUCUGCAACUCGACUGCGUGAAGUCGGAAUCGCUAGUAAUCGCGGAUCAGCAUGUCGCGGUGAAUACGUUCCCGGGUCUUGUACACCCCGCCCCGUCACACCAUGGGAGUGGGUUUUUACCAAGUAGUUAGCUAAUGAGAGGCGAUUACCACAGUAGGAUUCAUGACUGGGGUGAAGUCGUAACAAGGUAG